UACGUAGGCAGCAAGCGUUGUUCGGAAUUACUGGGCGUAAAGAGUGUGUAGGCGGUGCACUAAGUUUGGUGUGAAAUCUCCCGGCUCAACCGGGAGCCUGCAUUGAAUACUGGUGUGCUCGAGGGUGGGAGAGGUAAGCGGAAUUCCUGGUGUAGCGGUGAAAUGCGUAGAUAUCAGGAGGAACACCUGUGGUGUAGACAGCUUAGUGGACCAUUUCUGACGCUGAGACACGAAAGCGUGGGUAGCAAACGGG
RNAcentral lists this ribosomal RNA (253 nucleotides) under uncultured bacterium. RNAcentral's name for it is "partial 16S ribosomal RNA". It matches the Rfam family "Bacterial small subunit ribosomal RNA", at positions 524 to 776 of the family's 1533-position model. The record is from RNAcentral.